RNAcentral lists this transfer RNA (50 nucleotides) under Trichomycterus areolatus. RNAcentral describes it as "partial tRNA-Ser". The record is from RNAcentral. Lineage: Eukaryota; Metazoa; Chordata; Actinopteri; Siluriformes; Trichomycteridae.
GAGAGAGGCCAGAAGCAAUGAGGACUGCUAAUCCCCAUCCCCAUGGUUAA